GCACUGGGGGUUGUAGGACUGCAAUGUGCAAGAGGUGAGUUUAGCAGAACAUUCUGGAAAGUAUAGCCAUAGAGGGUGAUAGUCCCGUAUGCGAAAAACAAACCUUAGCUAGCAGUAUCCUGAGUAGGGCGGGACACGAGAAAUCCUGUCUGAAGCUGGGUCGACCACGAUCCAACCCUAAAUACUAAUACCAGAUCGAUAGUGCACAAGUACCGUGAGGGAAAGGUGAAAAGAACUGAGGUGAUCAGAGUGAAAUAGAACCUGAAACCAUUUGCUUACAAUCAUUCAGAGCACUAUGUAGCAAUACAGUGUGAUGGACUGCCUUUUGCAUAAUGAGCCUGCGAGUUGUGGUGUCUGGCAAGGUUAAGCAAACGCGAAGCCGUAGCGAAAGCGAGUCUGAAUAGGGCGCUUAGUCAGAUGCUGCAGACCCGAAACGAAGUGAUCUAUCCAUGAGCAAGUUGAAGCUAGUGUAAGAACUAGUGGAGGACUGAACCCAUAGGCGUUGAAAAGCCCCGGGAUGACUUGUGGAUAGGGGUGAAAGGCCAAUCAAACUUCGUGAUAGCUGGUUCUCUCCGAAAUAUAUUUAGGUAUAGCGUUGUGUCGUAAUAUAAGGGGGUAGAGCACUGAAUGGGCUAGGGCAUACACCAAUGUACCAAACCCUAUCAAACUCCGAAUACCUUAUAUGUAAUCACAGCAGUCAGGCGGCGAGUGAUAAAAUCCGUCGUCAAGAGGGAAACAACCCAGACUACCAGCUAAGGUCCCUAAAUCUUACUUAAGUGGAAAACGAUGUGAAGUUACUUAAACAACCAGGAGGUUGGCUUAGAAGCAGCCAUCCUUUAAAGAAAGCGUAAUAGCUCACUGGUCUAGUGAUUUUGCGCGGAAAAUAUAACGGGGCUAAAGUAAGUACCGAAGCUGUAGACUUGAUUUUAUCAAGUGGUAGGAGAGCGUUCUAUUUGCGCCGAAGGUAUACCGGUAAGGAGUGCUGGAGCGAAUAGAAGUGAGCAUGCAGGCAUGAGUAGCGAUAAUUAAUGUGAGAAUCAUUAACGCCGUAAACCCAAGGUUUCCUACGCGAUGCUCGUCAUCGUAGGGUUAGUCGGGUCCUAAGUCGAGUCCGAAAGGGGUAGACGAUGGCAAAUUGGUUAAUAUUCCAAUACCAACAUUAGUGUGCGAUGGAAGGACGCUUAGGGCUAAGGGGGCUAGCGGAUGGAAGUGCUAGUCUAAGGUCGUAGGAGGUUAUACAGGCAAAUCCGUAUAACAUACUCCGAGAACUGAAAGGCUUUUUGAAGUCUUCGGAUGGAUAGAAGAACCCCUGAUGCCGUCGAGCCAAGAAAAGUUUCUAAGUUUAGCUAAUGUUGCCCGUACCGUAAACCGACACAGGUGGGUGGGAUGAGUAUUCUAAGGCGCGUGGAAGAACUCUCUUUAAGGAACUCUGCAAAAUAGCACCGUAUCUUCGGUAUAAGGUGUGGUUCGCUUCGUAUUAGGAUUUACUCCGAAAGCGAAGAAACUUACAACAAAGAGUCCCUCCCGACUGUUUACCAAAAACACAGCACUCUGCUAACUCGUAAGAGGAUGUAUAGGGUGUGACGCCUGCCCGGUGCUCGAAGGUUAAUUGAUGGGGUUAGCAUUAGCGAAGCUCUUGAUCGAAGCCCGAGUAAACGGCGGCCGUAACUAUAACGGUCCUAAGGUAGCGAAAUUCCUUGUCGGUUAAAUACCGACCUGCAUGAAUGGCGUAACGAGAUGGGAGCUGUCUCAAAGAGGGAUCCAGUGAAAUUGUAGUGGAGGUGAAAAUUCCUCCUACCCGCGGCAAGACGGAAAGACCCCGUGGACCUUUACUACAGCUUGACACUGCUAUUUGGAUAAGAAUGUGCAGGAUAGGUGGGAGGCUUUGAGUAUAUGACGCCAGUUGUAUAUGAGCCAUUGUUGAGAUACCACUCUUUCUUAUUUGGGUAGCUAACCAGCUUGAGUUAUCCUCAAGUGGGACAAUGUCUGGUGGGUAGUUUGACUGGGGCGGUCGCCUCCCAAAUAAUAACGGAGGCUUACAAAGGUUGGCUCAGAACGGUUGGAAAUCGUUCGUAGAGUAUAAAGGUAUAAGCCAGCUUAACUGCAAGACAUACAAGUCAAGCAGAGACGAAAGUCGGUCUUAGUGAUCCGGUGGUUCUGUGUGGAAGGGCCAUCGCUCAAAGGAUAAAAGGUACCCCGGGGAUAACAGGCUGAUCUCCCCCAAGAGCUCACAUCGACGGGGAGGUUUGGCACCUCGAUGUCGGCUCAUCGCAUCCUGGGGCUGGAGCAGGUCCCAAGGGUAUGGCUGUUCGCCAUUUAAAGCGGUACGCGAGCUGGGUUCAGAACGUCGUGAGACAGUUCGGUCCCUAUCUGCCGUGGGCGUAAGAAGAUUGAAGAGAUUUGACCCUAGUACGAGAGGACCGGGUUGAACAAACCACUGGUGUAGCUGUUGUUCUGCCAAGAGCAUCGCAGCGUAGCUAAGUUUGGAAAGGAUAAACGCUGAAAGCAUCUAAGCGUGAAGCCAACUCUAAGAUGAAUCUUCUCUAAGCUCUCUAGAAGACUACUAGUUUGAUAGGCUGGGUGUGUAAUGGAUGAAAGUCCUUUAGCUGACCAGUACUAAUAGAGCGUUUGGCUUAUCUUUAAUAAAGCAU
This 2651-nucleotide ribosomal RNA is filed under the name Campylobacter coli. Its description in RNAcentral is "partial 23S ribosomal RNA". It matches the Rfam family "Bacterial large subunit ribosomal RNA". The record is from RNAcentral. Lineage: Bacteria; Pseudomonadati; Campylobacterota; Epsilonproteobacteria; Campylobacterales; Campylobacteraceae.